AGGCCGGCUGGCCGCAGGGGAACCUUUCCUCUCCGGGUUCAGGGUCCGGGAGCAAACCCCGAGCUGCGGCAAAAAGGGCUGGUAGGCUCUCCUGCACCCCCGCUUGCUCCCCCGCCUUCCCUGUGUCCCCCGGCUUUUCCAGGAGGAAGAUGGGGUACCCAGCGGGGGUGGGGCGCGCCGGGCCGCGGAGCCGGGCUGUCACGUGCCCCCCUCUCCCCACACCCCCCGCCACUGCGGCGGGAGUUCCAAUCAGAGCGCGCCAGGGGGCUCCUCCCGGGCAGGAACCACCCGGCUCGGCGGCGGAGGGUGGGCCGCCGUCACCUGACCGCCCGCCCCCGCCCCCCGCGAGUAAGGGGCGGUGGUAGCGUCUGCUCGGUUACAAAUGGCCCCUCCCGCCCCGCUCGCCCGCUCGCUCGGGCUCGGCGCGGACCCGCCCGGGAGCGCUCCUCCCGCCGGCUGCCGGCGUCCCGCCGCCCUGCCCGGAGCCGGCCGGCGGUCCCCGCCAACCCCCGAGGGCGCUCCUGGCACCCAGCACGGAGGCUUGCCCGCGGAGGUCGCGCCGGGAGACUGGACCGCGGUAGCGCGCGGCUUGCCUUCCCGCAGGUGAACUUUGAUAUGGUGGACGGUGACUCUUCUCCUGCAUGCGAGUGGUGGUUCAAACCAGCGAAGAGACUUCAGACCUGUGGUGACAGAGGCCUUAAAACCUCACAGGGAGACAUCCUUGGAGCUCCAUGGCCAGGAAGUGCGGGAGGAAACAGGACUUUCAAAGCAGAAAAAGCCCACCAUGUUCCUGCCCAAGCGAGGCUACGCCAGCCGAGGGUACCCUGUGCAGAGGGCCAGUGGGGCCCCAUACAGCCAGCACCUGCCACGUGAGUGAGAUUUCAUUUUCAUCUGAAGAUGCUCUCUAUCAGACUCUCAUCACCACACCAGGGUUCAUAUAAAUGUCCAUUUUUCACAGAGCCGUAGAUUUAGAGCAGCAGUCCCCAAAUCUGGAUUAUCAGAAUCCCUGGGGGUAGGGGUGGAUUCCUGGGCUUCACUUUCAAACCAACUGCAGCAGAAGCUGGGAGUGGGGAGGGAGGGAGCCCUGAAUCCCACCUCCCCAUCCUGAGCCAGUCAGCCAGGUUGGGGGGAUGUCAGCUGCUGGAGAAAAUCUGCAUUGACCCAUGGACACCCUGGGAGCUGGUUGAUGAGGAAACACACCCUAUUUCUAUUGCCAUCAUCUUUUUCCAGAAGGAACAGGCAGGAAAAUGGUUUGUUGAUUUGAGACCUCUGAUGUUAUAAAGCUUAGAUAAAUGUCACGUCCUUCCAAUUGCCUUCGCCAAGUGAUCAUUACGUGACGUUAAACAUACACACACACACUCACACACACCAGAAUUAGCUAGCUUGACCUUGCCAAGCAAAUAGUGAAGAGGAAGAAGUAAUAUAAACAAGCCAGAGUGGGAAAUAAAGAGAUAAAAAGCUUUGGUUAAAAUGGGUGCAGAAUUCUGGAACACCAGAAAUGUUAACAUGCUCAUCAAUGCCCCUGGCAUGGCUGAGGCACUUCAGAGGCAACAGCAGGUAACCGGGCCCUGAGCAGAGAGGGAGGGGCAGCUGUGAUGCGCCAGCCCCCUGUUCUGGGGCACGUGGUGGCUGGGGUCCAGCCCAGGCCACCCAGCAGGUAGCCACCCAUAUACUCUGUUCUGCAUCUGCAUCUGCCCAGGGAAAGGGGGACUUUCUUGAGCUCACAAAAGGCUCCGUCCCCAGGAAAGGCCCGAUUGUUUCCCUUGCAGAAGGCGCUGCGUGCUCUAGCUGAGUGUGUCAAGAUCUGAAGGAAAGACGCUGCGUAGAUGAGCAGACAAGAGGGAGGUGGGCGGGGCAGGGCCACCGGGACCUGUGUGCUUCUGCUGGACUUGUAUUUUACUCUGGAUGGACAGGGGGAGGGAAGGAGGGGACAAACAAGAGAAUGACAGGCUCUGAGUCAUCUUUUAGAAGCGUCACUCAGGCUGCAGUAGAGUGAACCACCGAGGGACGAGUUCGAUGCGUGGAGCAUUGUCCAGGUGGGAGGUGGGGCGCCGGCAGGGGUAGAGGGCUGGACUGGCCAUGUAGGGUGGCUGUGGAGAUGAGAAAAUGCCCUUCAGUGGCAAGAUGUUGGCCAUCCUGAUGGCUCAGAGCAGACACUAAGGACAAAGCUGUGUCUCUGCCUCUAAGAUUGCGGGGACUUCCUCCACAGGAAGAGCGUGGCCGAGCUGCAGGUCCUGCUGUGUGGCACUGGGCUGCGGGGGACCCCACGAUCAGGCUGAAGAGUGGCUGACCCUGGAGCCCACGAGAUGGAGGAAGGUGUUCAGAGCCACAGAGGCAGGCACACGGGGUGUACUGGGGGGACGCCAGCUCCACGAGGGAGGAGGGGCAGGUGCAGAAGUGAGGAGCCAUGGGAUCUGCAACUUGUGGGCAUGAUGGGGGCCUUGGAGAGAUUAAUCCUGAUCCAACUGGCCCUCUGGAGGAAUCCCCAUGGUGUCGCUGUGCAUCAGGGCACGAGAGCCGAGAGGCAGGGAGGUGAGUGAGGAGGUCUGACAGUCAGCUGUUCAUACAGAACAGCUGUGUGCACGUCCUGAGGACGCUGGGUGCCAGCUUUCUUUUUCCGUUUUCAAACGCUUAGAAAAGACGAGUUGGACCACGCAAGUCUUAGUUUGAAUGAUACAUUCACUCAGCCAGUAUUUAUCAAGCAUCCCCUACAUGGCGAAGGCUGGGGACCCGAGAGGGAGGCUGGAAUCGAGUGGCAACAGCUCGCCGCACACUGUGUGGUAAGAACCUUCAGGAAGAGGCCCAGAGGCUUGGAAAGCACGUGACAGCAGAGUUGGGUCUGGGCUGGGGGACGGUGUCCAGGAAGUCAUGUUGGAUUGGAAAGCCGAAAGAGAAGUUGGUGUUAAACUAUGUGAAAUAGAGAAUGAGGCAUUCCAGGAGGAGGAAGCAGCUUGUGGUGGAAAGGAGUAUGGCAUGUUUGAGAAGUCAGAACAGCAGAUAAAUGGAUGGACCUAGAGUCUGUCAUACAGAGUGAAGGAAGUCAAAGAGGGAAACAAGCAUAGCAUAUUAACGCAUAUAUAUGGAAUCCAGAAAAAUGGUAUAGAUGAACCUAUUUGCAGGGCAGGACAGAGACCCAGACGCAGAGAGCAGACAUGUGGGCACGGGAUGGGGAGGGCAGUGGGCCAAGUUGGGAGAGGAGCACUGACAUAUAUGCGCCCCCACGUGUGAAACUGAUCGCGAGGGGGCGCUGCCGUGUAACAGGGAGCACAGCUCCGUGCUCUGUGAUGAGCGGAGGUGGGGCGGGCUGAGAGAGGGAGGAGACAGAUGUGAACAUAAAGCGGAUUCACGUUGUUGUACCGCAGAAACUGACAGCAUCAUAAAGCAGUUACACAUCAAUAAAAAUUUUUAAACAGAAUUCAAAAUAUAAACGAAGUCAACAGGGUGUAGACAGAGGGGAGAUGAAAGGCCGACUCUGCUGGCAUUCUGCUUCUAACCCCUGGCUGCUCUCUGUUCCCUCCGCACUCCAGAGGCAGCACGGAGGUCAGUCGGCUGGCAUGGUGCGGUGGGGCAGCUGGUGUUGUGAAUCAGGCCGUCGCCAAUCAGAGAACGGCUACUUCACAACACCAGGGUCACACCCCACCCCAGGCAGCGCUCCCAGCUCCAG
RNAcentral lists this long non-coding RNA (3664 nucleotides) under Bos grunniens (domestic yak). Lineage: Eukaryota; Metazoa; Chordata; Mammalia; Artiodactyla; Bovidae. The record is from RNAcentral.